AUUGAACGCUGGCGGCAUGCCUUACACAUGCAAGUCGAACGGCAGCGGGGGAGAAGCUUGCUUUUCCUGCCGGCGAGUGGCGAACGGGUGAGUAAUACAUCGGAACGUGCCCUGUAGUGGGGGAUAACUAGUCGAAAGAUUAGCUAAUACCGCAUACGACCUGAGGGUGAAAGUGGGGGACCGCAAGGCCUCAUGCUAUAGGAGCGGCCGAUGUCUGAUUAGCCAGUUGGUGGGGUAAAGGCCUACCAAGGCGACGAUCAGUAGCUGGUCUGAGAGGACGAUCAGCCACACUGGGACUGAGACACGGCACAGACUCGUACGGGAGGCAGCAGUGGGGAAUUUUGGACGAUGGGCGAAAGCCUGAUCCAGCAAUGCCGCGUGUGUGAAGAAGGCCUUCGGGUUGUAAAGCACUUUUGUCCGGAAAGAAAUGGCUCUGGUUAAUACCUGGGGUCGAUGACGGUACCGGAAGAAUAAGGACCGGCUAACUACGUGCCAGCCGCCGCCGUAA
This 508-nucleotide ribosomal RNA is filed under the name uncultured bacterium. RNAcentral's name for it is "partial 16S ribosomal RNA". It matches the Rfam family "Bacterial small subunit ribosomal RNA", at positions 30 to 523 of the family's 1533-position model. The record is from RNAcentral.